This 512-nucleotide ribosomal RNA is filed under the name uncultured Glomus. RNAcentral describes it as "SSU rRNA". It matches the Rfam family "Eukaryotic small subunit ribosomal RNA", at positions 569 to 1085 of the family's 1831-position model. The record is from RNAcentral. Lineage: Eukaryota; Fungi; Glomeromycota; Glomeromycetes; Glomerales; Glomeraceae.
AGCAGCCGCGGUAAUUCCAGCUCCAAUAGCGUAUAUUAAAGUUGUUGCAGUUAAAAAGCUCGUAGUUGAAUUUCGGGAUCAAUAUGUUGGUCGUGCCUCGGUACGUACUAGCUUAUUGGUUUCUCCUUUCUGAAGAACCAUGAUGUCAUUUAUUUGGUGUCGUGGGGAAUCAGGACUGUUACUUUGAAAAAAUUAGAGUGUUUAAAGCAGGCUCACGCUUGAAUACAUUAGCAUGGAAUAAUGAAAUAGGACGUUUGAUUCUAUUUUGUUGGUUUCUAGGAUCGACGUAAUGAUUAAUAGGGAUAGUUGGGGGCAUUAGUAUUCAAUUGUCAGAGGUGAAAUUCUUGGAUUUAUUGAAGACUAACUACUGCGAAAGCAUUUGCCAAGGAUGUUUUCAUUAAUCAAGAACGAAAGUUAGGGGAUCGAAGACGAUCAGAUACCGUCGUAGUCUUAACCAUAAACUGUGCCGACUAGGGAUCGGAUGAUGUUAAUUUUUAAUGACUCAUUCGGCG